Molecule: long non-coding RNA, 487 nt
Organism: Patella vulgata (common limpet)
Lineage: Eukaryota; Metazoa; Mollusca; Gastropoda; Patellidae
Exons: 3
Source: RefSeq, a predicted model, not a curated record
GUUUGAACAUUAAAAGACGAUCCACAGCUGAAGAGUAUACUAGUCCACUGGCAGUUAGAAUUUGUAUUCUAAUAUUAUUUAUCAGAAUUCUAGCUUAUUUUCUUUGAAGGUACGAGAAUUAAAGAUGGUUCUAAGGAUAUUGAUGUUGUUAAUGAUUCUGGUGACUGUUUAUUCUUUUCCUUCACCAAUAAACACAGAAUACCAACCUCCCAGUACAACAAUCUCAGAAUACGAAAAUUCCAGUGAGCCUAGCCCAGAAUACGAACCUCCCAGUGCACCUAGCUCAGAAUACGAACCUCCGGAUGUACCUAGCUCAGAAUACGAACCCCCGAGUGCACCUAGCCCAGAAGAAGAACCACUCCGUGCUCCUAGCUCAGAAGAAGAACCAACCCUUGCACCAAACCCUGAGGAUGAACCACUCCGUGAACCCAGCUUAGACGACCAACACCCCUUUGCACCUGCAUCAGAAUCCGCUCUCGAUUGGCUG